UUCUAGAAUCUGAAUGCUUGGAAGAGUGGCUGGCAACGAUCCUGAGGAGGCGACCCUGACCAGCUGGUGCUGGUAAUGGAUAGGCUCCCAUGGUGGUGUUUCUAACAUUAUUUCUGGAACCAUUGAGUGACAAGGGGGACAAGAUUCAGUGAGGGUCCACAUUUCCAGGACUCACCACCCCUUAGGGAUGGAUCAUGAAAUGGAGAUGUCUUGGCUGAGAAGGAGCAGACUCCAUUAUACUCAUGGAUGCCCUAGAAAGGAUUCACUAGCCCACCAAUACCCAGAACUGGCUGCUGUUGCUGUUUGCAAGAACCUGAACUGUAACACCGACAUCGGAGCCCCACCAUCCUUUAGCUAUGGAGAAGAGGAUGCUCCUGUGUUUCAUGGACAAAGAUGUACAAUCUAGCUAAAGAAGAGAAGAAACUUCAGCCAUCAUUUUAUAAUUCAAAAAAUGAUCUCAUUUUCAUUUGGGGGCAUAUCCCUGUGUUUGUUUCUAUAAGCAUGGCUUUUUAAUGGAAAUGGACCAAGAACGUAUAGACUUUGGUGAUGUAAAUGGAUCAUUAUUUCCUUAACAAGACUUACGAUGGCAAGCAUUUGUUGAAAUUAUUUGUCGAAAAGCGAGAUGCCAAGCUAAUGAAGGCUCCACUAAUGGACAGAGCACGGUUCUUAUAAUCCAGAUUAAUAUGCAACUGAACCGAUCAGGGGCAGACAAUUCAUCCAUUUAUUUAACAACCAGAUUGAGUUAUCUACUUCACUUCAGACAGCUUACCACACAGGGGAUGCAGUGGCUCAGAGGCCGCCUGAAGCGUACACACGCUGGGCGGAGACAGGACGUAAAUAAAUAAACACGGGAGUGGAUACAUUGCUGCGGUUAAAUGUAAAGAGGGCUCUGAUAGUGUAAAGAAGAAUAAGAUGACGUCUGCAGACACUGAGAGCUAGGGCGGGGCACUAUUGUCUUCAGUUUCAUGAUGUUUUGUUUCCCAGUGAGUGCAAAAGCAAUGGAUUCUUUAUGACAUGUUCCAUACAUGUUAUUGUGCUUUGUUCGUAUUUACCCUCCAUCAGACUUCCCGGUCCCACUUUCCC
Non-coding RNA from Peromyscus maniculatus bairdii (prairie deer mouse), 1083 nucleotides. Lineage: Eukaryota; Metazoa; Chordata; Mammalia; Rodentia; Cricetidae. The record is from RefSeq and is a predicted model, not a curated record.